RNAcentral lists this ribosomal RNA (478 nucleotides) under uncultured bacterium. Its description in RNAcentral is "partial 16S ribosomal RNA". It matches the Rfam family "Bacterial small subunit ribosomal RNA", at positions 28 to 507 of the family's 1533-position model. The record is from RNAcentral.
GAUGAACGCUGGCGGCGUGCUUAACACAUGCAAGUCGAACGAGAAGUGAAGACGGAAACCUUCGGGCGGAAGGCUUUAUUUCGAGUGGCGGACGGGUGAGUAACGCGUGGGUAACCUGCCUCAUACAGGGGGAUAACAGUUGGAAACGACUGUUAAUACCGCAUAAGACCACAGCACCGCAUGGUGCGGGGGUAAAAACUCCGGUGGUAUGAGAUGGACCCGCGUUCGAUUAGCCAGUUGGCGGGGUAACGGCCCACCAAAGCGACGAUCGAUAGCCGAUCUGUGAGGAUGACCGGCCACAUUGGGACUGGGACACGGCCCAAACUCCUACGGGAGGCAGCAGUGGGGAAUAUUGCACAAUGGGGGAAACCCUGAUGCAGCGACGCCGCGUGAGUGAAGAAGUAUUGCGGUAUGUAAAGCUCUAUCAGCAGGGAAGAAAAUGACGGUACCUGAGUAAGAAGCCCCGGCUAACUACGUG